This is a small nuclear RNA of Suncus etruscus (white-toothed pygmy shrew), 162 nucleotides long. RefSeq annotates it as U1 spliceosomal RNA. NCBI's taxonomy places the organism in Eukaryota, Metazoa, Chordata, Mammalia, Eulipotyphla, Soricidae. The transcript has a single exon. The record is from RefSeq and is a predicted model, not a curated record.
AUAUUUACCUGGUAGGAAUAGUAUCAUGAUCACAAAGGUGGUUUUCCCCAGGGCACGAUUUCACUGCACUCCCAGAUGUGCUGAAUCUGCGAUUUCCCCAAAUGUGGGAAGCUGGGCUGCAUAAUUUGUGGCAGCAGGGAACUGCAUUUACACUAUCCCCCG